UGCCAGAUGGCGUCCCUGCCAACGAUUGGGCAUCAUUUGUCUAGCUUAGGGCAACACUUAAGCAGAGGCGUCUUUCUCGGAGAAACAUCGUGAGUCGCAGCCAUUAGGAUAUCCAACAUACAACCUGUUCGAAGACAUUUAUUGUGACCUAUAAUGAUAUUGGGAGGAAGAUGCAGCAGGAGAAGGUACGAACGCCCACCUGUGGCGAGAUGUGGCCACAGCUCCAUAGGCAUAGGGACGACACUCCU
Molecule: long non-coding RNA, 248 nt
Organism: Neltuma alba
Lineage: Eukaryota; Viridiplantae; Streptophyta; Magnoliopsida; Fabales; Fabaceae
Exons: 3
Source: RefSeq, a predicted model, not a curated record